ACACACACACACACACUUUGACGCUGCUUUGUCUUCUCAGAGUCUUCAGAGCUUUUUUCACAUGGUGUCAUUCAGUCUGAACUACAGCCGCUCGUGUAACUUGAUGUUCUUCAGCUGGUUCUCACAUUAACAAACGAUGGACGAACUCUUCUGAACAUCUGGAUGAACAACUGAGUCACACUCACUUGUUUUAGAAUCUGCAGAUGAGCAGCAGCAUCACUGACGAGUCUUCGUUCUGCUGCUUCAGGUCACUUCAUCAUCUGUCGCUCGGGCUCCUCAGCUGUGAUAGAUGAAACAAUGGAACACAUGGAGCUUGUCCAGGUGAACUCAGACGUCAGCUCCUGGUGUCACUGUCCUGCUGGAAACACAUCCACACUCUGCUCAGCGACAGAACUUCUCUUCCUCCUGUUCAGAACCACAGCUACAGUCACUUCAUGUUUCAACCACAUCAGUUCACAGCCUCUGACACAGACUCCAGGUUUGUGUUUGACAUUAUGUUUUAGUUUCAGUCCACACACGUCAUAAUAAGUUGAUCUCAUGAGUUUUGAAUGAGUUGUGCUUCUGCUCAUCUUUCAUGUGUUGCAGGAUGGAUAGAAGGAAGAGGCUGACAACUUCCUGUAGUGAAACCUUCAGUGAAGCAGCCUGUGUGUGUUUUAUUUUUUUUUAAAUAAAAUAAAAAAUAUAAAAUAA
This is a non-coding RNA of Paralichthys olivaceus (Japanese flounder), 690 nucleotides long. The record is from RefSeq and is a predicted model, not a curated record. Lineage: Eukaryota; Metazoa; Chordata; Actinopteri; Pleuronectiformes; Paralichthyidae.